AUGUUGCACAUAUCGUGUGGGUGAGAACCUGCGUUCAGGUUCGAGCCGAGCGAAAGCGAGACAACAACGCGAUAGCGUUGACCCGGAGGGUGAGGCCAAAGGCCGAAUCAUCCCGCACGACCCACCA
This 127-nucleotide small RNA is filed under the name Prodigiosinella confusarubida. RNAcentral's name for it is "Serratia sp. ATCC 39006 RtT sRNA". It matches the Rfam family "RtT RNA". Rfam says of the family: This family represents a bacterial cis-regulatory element known as RtT RNA. The exact function of RtT is unknown although it is thought that it may be involved in changing the cellular response in relation to amino acid starvation. The record is from RNAcentral. Lineage: Bacteria; Pseudomonadati; Pseudomonadota; Gammaproteobacteria; Enterobacterales; Pectobacteriaceae. RNAcentral also lists the same sequence under 2 other names.